RNAcentral lists this non-coding RNA (240 nucleotides) under Rossellomorea marisflavi. Its description in RNAcentral is "Bacillus marisflavi T-box sequence". It matches the Rfam family "T-box leader". Rfam says of the family: Uncharged tRNA acts as the effector for transcription antitermination of genes in the T-box leader family. The record is from RNAcentral. Lineage: Bacteria; Bacillati; Bacillota; Bacilli; Caryophanales; Bacillaceae.
UAAAUGUCAACGACGGGAAAGAGUAGAUCGGGACACUGUUGCAAAGAGAGCCGGCAUUUGGUGGGAGCAGGCGAACGGUACCCUAUUGAAAAUCAUCCCUGAGACGCAGUGCCGAACGGAGUAAGCACUGCCGGUUUUCCACCGUUAACAGGAAGACGUAUGUUGGUACGUUCAAGUGUCGCUUGCUUUUUUUAGCAGGCGGAAUUCGGGUGGUAACGCGGGUAUAAGCUCGUCCCUUUA